GGCGACCGGCGCACGGGUGCGUAACGCGUAUGUAACCUACCUAUAACAGGGGCAUAACACUGAGAAAUUGGUACUAAUUCCCCAUAAUAUUCGGAGAGGCAUCUCUCCGGGUUGAAAACUCCGGUGGUUAUAGAUGGACAUGCGUUGUAUUAGCUAGUUGGUGAGGUAACGGCUCACCAAGGCAACGAUACAUAGGGGGACUGAGAGGUUAACCCCCCACACUGGUACUGAGACACGGCCAGACUCCUACGGGAGGCAGCAUG
Molecule: ribosomal RNA, 263 nt
Filed under: uncultured bacterium
Lineage: Bacteria
Description: partial 16S ribosomal RNA
Rfam family: Bacterial small subunit ribosomal RNA
Source: RNAcentral